This 497-nucleotide ribosomal RNA is filed under the name uncultured bacterium. RNAcentral's name for it is "partial 16S ribosomal RNA". It matches the Rfam family "Bacterial small subunit ribosomal RNA", at positions 28 to 507 of the family's 1533-position model. The record is from RNAcentral.
GAUGAACGCUGGCGGCGUGCCUAAUACAUGCAAGUCGAGCGAACAGACGAGGAGCUUGCUCCUCUGACGUUAGCGGCGGACGGGUGAGUAACACGUGGAUAACCUACCUAUAAGACUGGGAUAACUUCGGGAAACCGGAGCUAAUACCGGAUAACAUGUUGAACCGCAUGGUUUAACAGUGAAAGACGGUCUUGCUGUCACUUAUAGAUGGAUCCGCGCCGCAUUAGCUAGUUGGUAAGGUAACGGCUUACCAAGGCAACGAUGCGUAGCCGACCUGAGAGGGUGAUCGGCCACACUGGAACUGAGACACGGUCCAGACUCCUACGGGAGGCAGCAGUAGGGAAUCUUCCGCAAUGGGCGAAAGCCUGACGGAGCAACGCCGCGUGGGUGAAGAAGGUCUUCGGAUCGUAAAACUCUGUUAUUAGGGAAGAACAAAUGUGUAAGUAACUAUGCACGUCUUGACGGUACCUAAUCAGAAAGCCACGGCUAACUACGUG